UAUGCCUUGAAAAGGAAAAAUGAUUUGUUACAAUGAGAAUUUUAUACUUUUGAACAAAGGAAACAUAACCUGAUCCAGUAGAUUUGUGCCUAAGCAACUAACUCCCUUUGCGUCAUGGCAACUUGAACACUAGUAAAAGUAACCUCUACAUUUGAACGAGCCACAUAAGCACUUCUUUCUCCUAUGAUCUGCUUUGUCCAUACCAUAAUCAAAGGUCAACUCUUGUAGGGGAGGAAUAUGUCUAAUGGCAAA
RNAcentral lists this unclassified non-coding RNA (252 nucleotides) under Hevea brasiliensis (rubber tree). The record is from RNAcentral. Lineage: Eukaryota; Viridiplantae; Streptophyta; Magnoliopsida; Malpighiales; Euphorbiaceae.